RNAcentral lists this ribosomal RNA (450 nucleotides) under uncultured bacterium. Its description in RNAcentral is "partial 16S ribosomal RNA". It matches the Rfam family "Bacterial small subunit ribosomal RNA", at positions 354 to 796 of the family's 1533-position model. The record is from RNAcentral.
GUGGGGAAUAUUGGACAAUGGGCGAAAGCCUGAUCCAGCCAUGCCGCGUGUGUGAAGAAGGUCUUCGGAUUGUAAAGCACUUUAAGUUGGGAGGAAGGGCAGUAAGUUAAUACCUUGCUGUUUUGACGUUACCGACAGAAUAAGCAACGGCUAACUUCGUGCCAGCAGCCGCGGUAAUACGAAGGGUGCAAGCGUUAAUCGGAAUUACUGGGCGUAAAGCGCGCGUAGGUGGUUUUGUAAGUUGGAGGUGAAAUCCCCGGGCUCAACCUGGGAACUGCCUACAAAGCGGAAUGACUAGAGUACGGUAGAGGGUAGUGGAAUUUCCUGUGUAGCGGUGAAAUGCGUAGAUAUAGGAAGGAACACCAGUGGCGAAGGCGACUACCUGGACUGAUACUGACACUGAGGUGCGAAAGCGUGGGGAGCAAACAGGAUUAGAUACCCCAGUAGUCC